UUAAGCUAUAAAGAGCACAGGGUGGAUGCCUAGGCACUGAGAGCCGAUGAAGGACGUGAUAAGCUGCGAAAAGCCACGGGGAGGAGCAAAUAUCCUUUGAGCCGUGGAUAUCCGAAUGGGGGAACCCACUUAAGUAAACCUUAAGUACUGACAAGCCAAUACAUAACUUGCCAGAGGGAACCCGGGGAACUGAAACAUCUAAGUACCCGGAGGAAGAGAAAGAAACAUCGAUUUCCUUAGUAGCGGCGAGCGAAAGGGAAAGAGCCCAAACCGAGAGAUUUAUCUUUCGGGGUUAGGACUGCAUAAUUGAUCUGCGAUUGAUAGGAGAAUGGUCUGGGAAGUCCAGCAGGAAAGCGUGAAAGCCGCGUAUCCGAAAUUGAAAGCAGCAAGGCAGUAUCCAGAGUACCACGAGACACGAGGAACCUUGUGGGAAUGAGCGGAGACCACUCCGUAAGGCUAAAUACUACUCAGUGACCGAUAGCGCAUAGUACUGUGAAGGAAAGGUGAAAAGGACCCCGGGAGGGGAGUGAAAGAGAACCUGAAACCCUGUGUUUACAAGCUGUCGGAGCACGAUAAGUGCGACGGCGUACUUUUUGUAGAACGGUCCGGCGAGUUAUGAUACGCGGUAAGGUUAAGGACUUAAGGUCCGGAGCCGAAGCGAAAGCGAGUGUUAAGAGCACGAGGAAUCACGUAUCAUAGACCCGAAACCGGGUGAUCUAUCCAUGUCCAGGAUGAAGCUGCCGUAAGAGGUAGUGGAGGUCCGAACACACAUCCGUUGAAAAGGGUGGUGAUGAGGUGUGGAUAGGGGAGAAAUUCCAAUCGAACCCGGAGAUAGCUGGUUCUCCUCGAAAUAGCUUUAGGGCUAGCCUUCAGUUAGUCUGCCGCAGGUAGAGCACUGAAUUUCCUAGGGGGCGUCAAAGCCUACCGAAGAAUAUCAAACUGCGAAUGGCGGACAGAUGAUGCUGGGGAGUCAGACUGCACGAGAUAAGUUGGGUGGUCAAAAGGGAAAGAGCCCAGACCUACAGCUAAGGUCCCAAAGUGCGUGUUAAGUGGAAAAGGAUGUGGGAUUUCGAAGACAACUAGGAUGUUGGCUCAGAAGCAGCCACACAUUAAAAGAGUGCGUAAUAGCUCACUAGUCGAGAGGUCCUGCGCCGAAAAUGUCCGGGGCUGAAACACGACACCGAAGCUUAGGAACAAAGAAACCAAGGUUUCUAUAUGUUGGUAGAGGAGCAUUGUUAGCGGAACGAAGCCAUACCGGAAGGAGUGGUGGACUGCUAAGAAGAGAGAAUGCCGGAAUGAGUAGCGAGAUUGAAGUGAGAAUCUUCAAGGCCGAAUAUCUAAGGUUUCCAGGGUAAAGCUGAUCUGCCCUGGGUAAGUCGGGGCCUAAGGCGAGGUCGAAAGACGUAGCCGAUGGACAACAGGUUGAAAUUCCUGUACUGCGAUAUAUCAGAAAUGUGGGGACACAGAAGGAAAGUGUGAGCCGGGAAAGGAAAGACCGGUGCAAGCACAGGAGGAGGGAUACAGGCAAAUCCGUAUCCCAAUCCAAUGGUGUUACGCGGAGCGAACAAAAGUAGCGAAGCACACAGACCAUCUGUCGAGAAAAGCCGCUAUUGUGUAUACCGUACCCGUACCGUAAACCGACACAGGUGGAUGAGGAGAGAAUCCUAAGGCCGGCGGGAGAAGCAUUGUUAAGGAACUCGGCAAAAUGACCCCGUAACUUCGGGAGAAGGGGUGCUCAUAGAAAUAAGAGCCGCAGAGAAUUGGCCCAAGCAACUGUUUAGCAAAAACACAGGUCUAUGCAAAACCGAAAGGUGAGGUAUAUGGGCUGACGCCUGCCCGGUGCUGGAAGGUUAAGAGGAGAUGUUAGAGCAAUCGAAGCAUUGAAUUUAAGCCCCAGUAAACGGCGGCCGUAACUAUAACGGUCCUAAGGUAGCGAAAUUCCUUGUCGGGUAAGUUCCGACCCGCACGAAAGGCGUAAUGAUUUGGGCACUGUCUCAACAAUGCACCCGGUGAAAUUGAAAUACCAGUGAAGAUGCUGGUUACCUGCGCCAGGACGGAAAGACCCCAUGGAGCUUUACUCCAGCUUGAUACUGGGAUUCGGUAUUGCAUGUACAGGAUAGGUGGGAGGCUAAGAAGUGGUAACGCCAGUUGCCAUGGAGCCGCUGUUGGGAUACCACCCUUGCAGUACUGGGUUUCUAACCAGCAGCCGUGAUCCGGCUGGGGGACAAUGUCAGGUGGGGAGUUUGACUGGGGCGGUCGCCUCCGAAAGGGUAUCGGAGGCGCUCAAAGGU
This 2291-nucleotide ribosomal RNA is filed under the name human gut metagenome. RNAcentral describes it as "bacterial LSU rRNA". It matches the Rfam family "Bacterial large subunit ribosomal RNA", at positions 3 to 2317 of the family's 2925-position model. The record is from RNAcentral.